AUAAAUAAAUAAAUAAAUAAACUGAGGAAGGCAUCCUCUUCAGAGUUAUGGAGAUGGAACCAGAGAAAAUGAUACCACAUGGUAAACCAGUAGGUUAGGCAUCACCAGUGGAUCUCAACAAUUUCAAAAACUAAGAGUAAAUGCAAUUUGAAGAGAGGAAGGGUAUAAAUGCAUCCAAGGAAACAUCAAAGCACACAUAUGGUGACCCAGACAAUUUCAAGGAGUCUAUAUAAGAUGAUUAACUUCUCAACGAAUUAUUAAGCUCAGCUACUCAGAAUGUUUAUUUAUUCAGUCUUUCACAGCCAAUGAAGUAUAAAGAAUAUUUUGAAUUCUAGUUAACCAUCAGGUUCGAGUGUUUAUUCCAACAAUACCAGAUAAACUAAAGGGAACAUCUAACCCUUGUUCUUAUCAUAUAAAGAAUCAAAUUUUGAUAAACACAUAACAAGAGAAUCAAAUGAUCAAGUAACUACUAUAAACUUUGCCUCAACGCAAUAUUACAUACAUAUGCCAUUGCAAAGAAAGAACUCUUUGGCACAAUGCAGGUAGCAAAAACAGCCAAAAAUGCCAAUCAUGCCAAAUGUCUUGGAAGGAGCAUUUAAGGUCUACAAGCUCAACACACCUGCACUCCCAGCCAGAAAGUAAUGAAACUGUCCAAGUUCACCAACAAAGAAGAAAUAUUAUGUCAUGUCAAUGUUCGGGAAACUACUGAAGCAUUAAAAAAACUCAUCACACGUCUACAUGGAGGUGGCAAGCUGAUAUCAGAGACCACUAAUGAAGGUUCAUCUAAACAGAACACACCCGUUUGGAAAGAGAAAUAUCCACCAAAAUAAAAGGGAGGAAAUCAAACAGAAGAAUGACAAGGAGAGGUAGCAGUCCGAACUCCAAAGCCAAAAAUAAUAGGGGAAUUAUAAAGUGCAAAAUGAGGAAACAGUCAAUAUCAUAACUACUAUGUAGUUUCAAACAAUAUUGCACCAACACCCACGCUCCUCAAGAAGUAUCUUGACAUCAACUGAAAUCUAAAAACCUAAAUAGCCAUAUAAAUCUAAAAUUAUUAACUAGAAUCAUGUACUUGAGAAUAAUGAGGGGAUAAUAGAAAUCAAUUUCUGAAAAACUGAAAGGGAGAAAAAAGUAAAACCAAACCUUAUCUAAUUUAAAAAUGGUAUGUUACUGAGAGAAAUUUAGAUAACCAGAGCACUAACAGAAUGCAACUUGACUGACAGCUAAACCAAUAGAAUGGGCAGAAAAGAUGCUUUGAAGAAUGUAGCAUUAUAGAUGCCACAAAAAAGCUUAAAAUAAAGGACAAAAACUAAAAACUGACCUAGGAGAGGCAUGCACUAAAGGGUAACCAAUUCAGCUGAAAUCAGUCCCAGGCCCCUAGAUGAGAGAGCCUCUUGACACCCUGCUUUGAGAUAAUAGGAGUUCUAUAAGUUUUCGCAAGUUUUAAGACUAAUAAAAUUUAUUGUGCCCAAUUGCUAAAGGAAAGCACAGGAAGGAAAUGACUUGGGAAACUGCUGCCUAUCUUAAAACCAUAACUGAAAGAAAGCAAACUUAACAACAAUGCUAAGCAUACUACACGUCAUACAUUAAUUAGAAAAUCAUAUAAAACAAUUUCAAAUGGUCAAAUUUCAUGAUUAUCAAUGCAUAGUAAAGAUAAAGUACAGCAGGAGUAGAGAACAGGCAUUCAACUAAAGAAACACUGAUGACUGCAUAUAAGCAUACGGCAUA
This 1725-nucleotide unclassified non-coding RNA is filed under the name Hevea brasiliensis (rubber tree). Lineage: Eukaryota; Viridiplantae; Streptophyta; Magnoliopsida; Malpighiales; Euphorbiaceae. The record is from RNAcentral.